GACGAACGCUGGCGGCGUGCUUAACACAUGCAAGUCGAACGGAAAGGCCUGCUUUCCCUUGUGGAUUGCGGGUACUCGCGUGGCGAACGGGUGAGUAACACGUGAGUGAUCUGCCCCCAACUUGGGUAUAAGCCUGGGAAACUGGGUCUAAUUCCCGAUAGGACUGCAGGGUGGUGCCUGUGGUGGAAAACGAUUUUCUAGUGGUUGGGGAUGAGCUCGCGGCCUAUCAGCUUGUUGGUGGGGUAAUGGCCUACCAAGGCGGCGACGGGUAGCCGGCCUGGGAGGGUGGACGGCCACAUUGGGACUGAGAUACGGCCCAGACUCCUACGGGAGGCAGCAGUGGGGAAUAUUGCACAAUGGGCGGAAGCCUGAUGCAGCGACGCCGCGUGGGGGAUGACGGCCUUCGGGUUGUAAACUCCUUUCGACCGCGAGGAAGCCACCUGGUUGGAAGGGUGGUGACGGUAGUGGUAGAAGAAGCACCGGCUAACUACGUG
RNAcentral lists this ribosomal RNA (494 nucleotides) under uncultured bacterium. RNAcentral describes it as "partial 16S ribosomal RNA". It matches the Rfam family "Bacterial small subunit ribosomal RNA", at positions 28 to 507 of the family's 1533-position model. The record is from RNAcentral.